GCCCAUCAUUGCCUCACUCAGGUGUCCUUAGCCCACUACACGUUUUUGUUUGAGUGGCCAAUCUGUUCCCUGUGGCCUCUUUCUGCCUUGACACCUAUUUUCUGUCUUGCGGACUCUUGCUUCACUAUAAAUAAUUAGAUUGCUUUCCAAAAGUCGGAUGCUCAAAUUCAUGUUUUAUUGUGGUUUGAAGUGGCCAAAUGACAGGUGGAUGUGGGUCAUGGCCUAGUCAUGCCUCCAUUAGGACAACCCUAAAGAAUGGCAAGAAGAGGGAGGCAUCAGCUCAUACCCCCUCCCUGGCUUAGCAGAUAAAUAGUACAGUGUUGGCAAUCCAGAAUACUUCCCCAGGAACAGUGCCAGAGUGACCUCGAGUGACUCAGUCCGUUAGUGCAGGUGUUCCCAAGAUCGCCUCUCCCGCUCCAUGGGGCACGGCUGCGUCCUUUUUACCUCUGGCCCAUUUAUCUCCAAAGGCUUCUAACGCAGAGCUUCUCAAUUUUGAGGGUGCCUAGGAACCACCUGGAAGUCUUGUUAGAGUGCAGACACUGAAUGAGCAGCUCUGGGGCCUACUGAGAGUCUGCCCUCUUGACAAACUCAUCGCACCGCUGCUGUAGGUCCACGGAUCACACUUUGAGUGGCAAGCGUCUGAAGCUUUUCCUGAUUGGCUGCAGGAUGGCCCAGGCGCCUGGUCUUUUCAAUUCCAGGGCUUUGGCGAAACCGCCAGGCCCAGGAGGUUGGAAUCCAAGGCAAUGUGAUCCACGUCUGUGAGAAAGGCAACCGCAGGGAGAGGGCAAGGAGGCACAUGGCAUCAUUGUACCUACUGCACUUCCCCAACCCCUCAUGACUUGCUUUGGCCCGUGAAAUGAAUGCAGAAGUGACUUGUAUUACUUCCGGAUGAACACUUGGAGAAUUAGUGCUUGAUUUGCCCCGUCCUCGCUUCCUGCCUUCAGGGUCGAGGAGGCAGCAUGUCCAGUUCCAGCUGCCUGCAUCCCUGGGUGGCUGUGGGAAACAGAGCUCCUCUUGACCCACAAUGGACACAUUUCAGGAUCGAGGAAUAAACUUUUAUGUCAAACCAC
Long non-coding RNA from Neofelis nebulosa (Clouded leopard), 1070 nucleotides. RefSeq lists it as uncharacterized. The record is from RefSeq and is a predicted model, not a curated record. Lineage: Eukaryota; Metazoa; Chordata; Mammalia; Carnivora; Felidae. The transcript is spliced from 2 exons.